RNAcentral lists this ribosomal RNA (352 nucleotides) under uncultured bacterium. RNAcentral describes it as "bacterial SSU rRNA". It matches the Rfam family "Bacterial small subunit ribosomal RNA", at positions 1 to 334 of the family's 1533-position model. The record is from RNAcentral.
GUACGCUAUUCAGAGUUUGAUCCUGGCUCAGGCUGAACGCUGGCGGCGUGCAUAACACAUUCAAGUCGAACGGAGUUACUUGAACAAUCCUUCGGGUGCGUGAGAGUAACUUAGUGGCGGACGGGUGAGUAACGCGUGAGCAACCUGCCUCUGUAUGGGGAAUAACGUCGGGAAACUGACGCUAAUACCUCAUAAUGCAUAAGGACCGCAUGAUCCAUAUGCCAAAGAUUUAUUGUACAGAGAUGGGCUCGCGUCUGAUUAGGUAGUUGGUGAGGUAACGGCCCACCAAGCCGACGAUCAGUAGCCGGACUGAGAGGUUGAACGGCCACAUUGGAACUGAGAUACGGUCCAG